AUCACUUCUUGGCCUUUUGGCUAGGAUCGAAUGUAGUACCUGUUCUGGUCAGCUUAAAAUAUGUACCGAGCUCUCCCUGACCCACCCAAAGCUAGCAACCCAAGUUAAACCUUCCUGUUUCGUCUUCCAGAAUAAAACUUUAAAAAAAAAAGUAUUCACAUUCCCAUCUUUUUUAGAGAUGGGGUGGAUGUAUGCAAG
Molecule: small nuclear RNA, 198 nt
Organism: Suricata suricatta (meerkat)
Lineage: Eukaryota; Metazoa; Chordata; Mammalia; Carnivora; Herpestidae
Gene: U2
Rfam family: U2 spliceosomal RNA
About the family: U2 is a small nuclear RNA (snRNA) component of the spliceosome (involved in pre-mRNA splicing). Complementary binding between U2 snRNA (in an area lying towards the 5' end but 3' to hairpin I) and the branchpoint sequence (BPS) of the intron results the bulging out of an unpaired adenosine, on the BPS, which initiates a nucleophilic attack at the intronic 5' splice site, thus starting the first of two transesterification reactions that mediate splicing.
Source: Ensembl